GGAGUUAGCCGGUGCUUCUUCUGUGAGUGAUGUCCUUCCUGCCGGCUAUUAACCCGCAGGCCUUCUUCCUCACUGAAAGUGCUUUACAACCCGAAGGCCUUCUUCACACACGCGGCAUGGCUGGAUCAGGGUUGCCCCCAUUGUCCAAUAUUCCCCACUGCUGCCUCCCGUAGGAGUCUGGGCCGUGUCUCAGUCCCAGUGUGGCUGAUCAUCCUCUCAGACCAGCUACGGAUCGUCGCCUUGGUGAGCCGUUACCUCACCAACCAGCUAAUCCGACAUAGGCUCAUCCGAUAGCGCGAGGCCCGAAGGUCCCCCGCUUUCCCCCGUAGGGCGUAUGCGGUAUUAGCCUGGGUUUCCCCAGGUUAUCCCCCACUACCGGGCAGAUUCCUAUGCAUUACUCACCCGUCCGCCGCUCGCCACCAGGGAGCAAGCUCCCCGUGCUGCCGCUCGACUUGCAUGUGUUAGGCCUGCCGCCAGCGUUCAAUCUGAGCCAUAAUCAAACUACUGA
This 508-nucleotide ribosomal RNA is filed under the name uncultured bacterium. Its description in RNAcentral is "partial 16S ribosomal RNA". The record is from RNAcentral.